AAUACAUGCAUAGGACAUUUCCUAAGCAAAUCUUUGAACCUUUCACAUGCUUCAUAUAGUGUUUCAUCCUCUAGUUGCUGAAAGGAUGUUAUUUCAUUUCUUAGGU
This is a non-coding RNA of Gossypium raimondii (Peruvian cotton), 106 nucleotides long. The record is from Rfam. Lineage: Eukaryota; Viridiplantae; Streptophyta; Magnoliopsida; Malvales; Malvaceae.